AUUGAACGCUGGCGGCAGGCUUAACACAUGCAAGUCGAGCGAGCGGCGGACGGGUGAGUAAUGUCUGGGAAACUGCCUGAUGGAGGGGGAUAACUACUGGAAACGGUAGCUAAUACCGCAUACCAUAGGAUGAGCCCAAGUGGGAUUAGGUAGUUGGUGAGGUAAAGGCUCACCAAGCCGACGAUCUCUAGCUGGUCUGAGAGGAUGACCAGCCGCACUGGGACUGAGACACGGCCCAGACUCCUACGGGAGGCAGCAGGGGGGAAUAUUGCGCAAUGGGGGCAACCCUGACGCAGCCAUGCCGCGUGAAUGAAGAAGGCCUUCGGGUUGUAAAGUUCUUUCAGCGGGGAGGCGUUACCCGCAGAAGAAGCACCGGCUAACUCCGUGCCAGCAGCCGCGGUAAUUC
Molecule: ribosomal RNA, 406 nt
Filed under: uncultured bacterium
Lineage: Bacteria
Description: partial 16S ribosomal RNA
Rfam family: Bacterial small subunit ribosomal RNA
Source: RNAcentral